GAUGAACGCUAGCGACAGGCUUAACACAUGCAAGUCGAGGGGCAGCGGGGGCGUAGCAAUAUGCCUGCCGGCGACCGGCGCACGGGUGAGUAACACGUAUGUAACCUGCCCUAUGCAGGGGGAUAACCCGGAGAAAUCCGGCCUAAUACCGCGUAACACCUUUUGGGAGCAUUCCCGGGAGGUUAAAGGAGAGAUCCGGCAUAGGAUGGACAUGCGUCGCAUUAGGUAGACGGCGGGGUAACGGCCCACCGUGCCGACGAUGCGUAGGGGUUCUGAGAGGAAGGCCCCCCACACUGGUACUGAGACACGGACCAGACUCCUACGGGAGGCAGCAGUGAGGAAUAUUGGUCAAUGGCCGAGAGGCUGAACCAGCCAAGUCGCGUGAGGGAAGAAUGUCCUAAGGAUUGUAAACCUCUUUUGUCGGGGAGCAAAAAGGCUCUGCGGAGUCGUAUUGAGAGUACCCGAAGAAAAAGCAUCGGCUAACUCCGUGCCAGCAGCCGCGGUAAUACGGAGGAUGCGAGCGUUAUCCGGAUUUAUUGGGUUUAAAGGGUGCGCAGGCGGCGUGUCAAGCAAGCGGUAAAAUAGCGGGGCUCAACCCCGUCGAGCCGUUUGAACUGGCGCGCUUGAGUUCAGGCGAGGUAGGCGGAAUUCGUGGUGUAGCGGUGAAAUGCAUAGAUAUCACGAAGAACUCCGAUUGCGAAGGCAGCUUACCAGUCUGCGACUGACGCUCAGGCACGAAAGUGUGGGUAUCGAACAGGAUUAGAUACCCUGGUAGUCCACACAGUAAACGAUGAGCGCUAGGUGUCCGGGUCGCAUGAGACUUGGGUGCCCGAGCGAAAGCGUUAAGCGCUCCACCUGGGGAGUACGCCGGCAACGGUGAAACUCAAAGGAAUUGACGGGGGCCCGCACAAGCGGAGGAACAUGUGGUUUAAUUCGAUGAUACGCGAGGAACCUUACCCGGGCUCAAACGACUCAGGAAUAUAUUGGAAACGAUGUAGCCAGCAAUGGUCUGAGUCGAGGUGCUGCAUGGUUGUCGUCAGCUCGUGCCGUGAGGUGUCGGCUUAAGUGCCAUAACGAGCGCAACCCCUACCGCCAGUUGCCAACGGGUAAAGCCGGGAACUCUGGCGGGACUGCCGGCGCAAGCUGCGAGGAAGGCGGGGAUGACGUCAAAUCAGCACGGCCCUUACGUCCGGGGCGACACACGUGUUACAAUGGCAGGUACAGCGGGAAGCCACCUGGUGACAGGGAGCGGAACCCGAAAGCCUGUCUCAGUUCGGAUUGGAGUCUGCAACUCGACUCCAUGAAGCUGGAUUCGCUAGUAAUCGCGCAUCAGCCAUGGCGCGGUGAAUACGUUCCCGGGCCUUGUACACACCGCCCGUCAAGCCAUGGGAGCCGGGGGUGCCUGAAGUACGUGACCGCGAGGAGCGUCCUAGGGCAAAACUGGUGACUGGGGCUAAGUCGUAACAAGGUAGCCGUACCGGAAGGUGCGGCUGGAACACCUCCUUUCUGGAGCGCGAUUGAAAGCGCCGGAGCUGUCCACCGCCUCUGUCAACCCGGCAGAGAGGACACACUCGAGAGGAUAGGUUGCCGCCUUGGUCUUGACCUAUUAUUUGAUGGCAUUGAAUUUACAGAGGGAUGCUUUUCUAACAAGCAUGAUGUGUUACUGCUUCAAGUCUAUUGCAACGGGGGAUUAGCUCAGCUGGCUAGAGCACCUGCUUUGCAAGCAGGGGGUCAACGGUUCGAAUCCGUUAUUCUCCACUUUACCGGCGUCAGUGUUUUUUGAACAUGACACUGGGCGCGGUACCGGUCGCAGAUUGACAUUAUGGAAGCAAAAUCAAAUCUCAUCUCAAAAAGAAGAGAAAAAGAUCACAACGAGCGGUUGCCGAUUCCGAAAGGAUCGGUGACAAGCGACAAGAUCUCGAGCUAAGAAAAAGAAAAAGGAAAGGAGAAAAGGGCACAUGAAGGAUGCCUAGGCUCCCGGAGGCGAAGAAGGACGUGACAAGCUGCGAUAAGCCAUGGUAAGGGGCAAAUACCCGUUCAGCCAUGGAUUUCCGAAUGGGGCAACCCGUCGGUAGAGAUACCGUCAUCCGCGUAAGUGGAAGCUAACCCGGGGAACUGAAACAUCUCAGUACCCGGAGGAAAAGAAAACAAAAGUGAUUGCGCAAGUAGUGGCGAGCGAACGCGCAGAAGCCCAAACCGUAUCCGUGGUAACGCGGAUACGGGGUUGUAGGACCGUCGCCGGUAUUGUAUUUUAAUGAGAGCGGAAAUGACUGGAACGUCAUACCGCAGAGGGUGAAAGUCCCGUAUGCGAAUCAUUUGGAUACAAUCAGACGGCACCUGAGUAAGCCGGAACACGAGAAAUUCUGGCCGAAUCCGCGGGGACCAUCCCGUAAGGCUAAAUACUCCCGGGAGACCGAUAGUGAACC
RNAcentral lists this ribosomal RNA (2426 nucleotides) under uncultured Duncaniella sp. RNAcentral's name for it is "partial contains 16S ribosomal RNA, 16S-23S ribosomal RNA intergenic spacer, and 23S ribosomal RNA". The stretch from base 1 to 1506 matches the Rfam family "Bacterial small subunit ribosomal RNA". Lineage: Bacteria; Pseudomonadati; Bacteroidota; Bacteroidia; Bacteroidales; Muribaculaceae. The record is from RNAcentral.